Parus major (Great Tit) is the source of this 734-nucleotide long non-coding RNA. NCBI's taxonomy places the organism in Eukaryota, Metazoa, Chordata, Aves, Passeriformes, Paridae. The record is from Ensembl.
AUUUUUUUUCAACACACCUACUGCUGAUUUACACCAUCCUAGUUUUGUGGGUUUGUCAUGAUAAAGGCAGUAUUGAAUCUGUGCAAAGUGCUUUGAGAAGUAAGCCACAAGCUCUUGUGGCAAUAGCCUUAUUUCUUUCUGCAGACAUUGAGGCAGAGGACUGAAUGUGACCGGAAGAGAAGGAUUUCAAGGAAAUCUUCAAAAUGCAAAUGAAUCACCGAUAUAAACUCGUGUUUCAUUUAAUCCUGUUGUGUAAAUGUAAAGAUAUCAACCCAAAUUUGGAUUGUUAUUUACAGCUUCACAGUCACUCUUAACAUUUCUUCCUGGAGGCUCUUGGGCUUAAAACUUUGUUGCUGUGUUCAAGCCUAUAUUAGCAAGUUUUUUAGUGGCUGUGUUAUAUUACAGCUGUGCCACUUGAGUGAUAUAAUAUUUAUGUGCACAGCAAAAAUGGGUAUCAGAACUUAAAGUGAACCAGAUGGCUUAAGAAAGGACUCUGAACUGGAGGAUUUAAAAAUGCCCUUUGACUGUCAAGAUAAAGCUGGUAACUUUCCAUGGAGCCUUUUAGAAUGAUCCCAGUUUCCAGAAGAAACCCAUGCAGCUCUGGGACUUCAGGACAUAUGGGAUCUGCAUCUUUGUUGCUGACUCCCACUUCUGUUUUAAAAGGCAGCAAGAUAAACAGCCACUAUGGAAGGACUCUCCUCUGCUGUAUGAUCAGGCAAGCCAUGUCUUCUUAG